This 450-nucleotide ribosomal RNA is filed under the name uncultured bacterium. Its description in RNAcentral is "bacterial SSU rRNA". It matches the Rfam family "Bacterial small subunit ribosomal RNA", at positions 1 to 439 of the family's 1533-position model. The record is from RNAcentral.
AAAAAAGCGAGUUUGAUCAUGGCUCAGAACGAACGCUGGCGGCGUGCCUAACACAUGCAAGUCGAACGGAGUGAAGGAGCUUGCUCUUUCAUUUAGUGGCGCACGGGUGAGUAACGCGUAGAUAAUCUGCCUUGGACUCUGGGAUAACAUCUCGAAAGGGUGCUAAUACCGGAUAAGCCCACGAUGGCGUAAGUCAUUGCGGGAAAAGGGGGCCUCUGAAUAUGCUCCUGAUUCAAGAUGAGUCUGCGUACCAUUAGCUAGUUGGUAGGGUAAGAGCCUACCAAGGCGACGAUGGUUAGCUGGUCUGAGAGGAUGAUCAGCCACACUGGAACUGAGACACGGUCCAGACUCCUACGGGAGCAGCAGUGGGAAUUUUGCGCAAUGGGGGAAACCCUGACGCAGCAACGCCGCGUGAGUGAUGAAGGCUUUCGGGUCGUAAAGCUCUGUCUA